RNAcentral lists this ribosomal RNA (468 nucleotides) under uncultured bacterium. RNAcentral's name for it is "partial 16S ribosomal RNA". It matches the Rfam family "Bacterial small subunit ribosomal RNA", at positions 28 to 507 of the family's 1533-position model. The record is from RNAcentral.
GACGAACGCUGGCGGCGUGCUUAACACAUGCAAGUCGAACGGAAAGGCCCUGCCUUUGUGGGGUGCUCGAGUGGCGAACGGGUGAGUAACACGUGAGUAACCUGCCCUUGACUUUGGGAUAACUUCAGGAAACUGGGGCUAAUACCGGAUAGGAGUUCCUGCUGCAUGGUGGGGGAUGGAAAGUUUGGGCGUGUGGGGAUGGACUCGCGGCUUAUCAGCUUGUUGGUGGGGUGGUGGCUUACCAAGGCUUUGACGGGUAGCCGGCCUGAGAGGGUGACCGGCCACAUUGGGACUGAGAUACGGCCCAGACUCCUCCGGGAGGCAGCAGUGGGGAAUAUUGCACAAUGGGCGGAAGCCUGAUGCACAAACGCCGCGUGCGGGAUGACGGCCUUCGGGUUGUAAACCGCUUUCGCAUGUGACGAAGCGUGAGUGACGGUAAUGGGUAAAGAAGCACCGGCUAACUACGUG